AGAGUUUGAUCCUGGCUCAGGACGAACGCUGGCGGCGUGCCUAAUACAUGCAAGUCGAGCGGAUCAUCUUGAGGAGCUUGCUCCGAUAGAUGGUUAGCGGCGGACGGGUGAGUAACACGUAGGCAACCUGCCCAUAAGACUGGGAUAACAUUCGGAAACGGAUGCUAAGACCGGAUACGCAAGCUUGUCGCAUGACAGGC
RNAcentral lists this ribosomal RNA (200 nucleotides) under uncultured bacterium. Its description in RNAcentral is "partial 16S ribosomal RNA". It matches the Rfam family "Bacterial small subunit ribosomal RNA", at positions 8 to 198 of the family's 1533-position model. The record is from RNAcentral.